AUGGACAUCAAGGACAAGGACCUGGCGUCGGAGGAUUCCUUGUGGUCGCUGUAUGAGCGCUGGUGCGAGCAGUACAGGGUGGCACGCGACCUCGACGACAAGACCCGGCGCUUCAACGUGUUCAAGCAGAAUGCACGCAUGAUCCACAAGUUCAACCUCUUCGGCGGCAUGACCGAUGAAGAGGUCCAUCGCGCAUAUGGUCGCUGCUCCAGCAUCAAGUCUGAUGGCCGUAAGCAUCGGCGACAGGGCCGGUUCACGGACGACGCCAUCAACGCCCGCAAGGGCCUCCCGUCAUCUGUGGAUUGGCGCAAACGCCCAUCGGCGGUGACGAACGUGAAGCUACAAGGAGUGCAUUGCGGUUCCUGCUGGGCCUUCGCGGCAACAGCGGCGGUCGAGGGCAUCAACUCCAUCAGGACCCGGAACCAGACGUCGUUGUCCACGCAACAACUCGUGGACUGCGACAAGGGGAACGGGGGGUGUAAAGGAGGAUUCGCGAAGUUAGCCUUCAAGUACAUAAUGCAAACCGGCGGCAUCGGAACAGAUGCUAAGUACCCGUAUGUUGGCCAUGAGGAUGGCCACUGCUCGGCGCCCAAGCCAAACCAGAACACGGUCGUCACCAUCGAUGGCUACAAACAGGUGGCGCCAAAUGAGAUGAUGGCGUUGGAGCAGGCGGUGGCGGCCCAACCCGUGGUGGUCGGAGUUGAUUCAAACUCGACGACCUUCCAACGCUAUGGGCGAGGCGUCUUCGUGGGGUCAUGCGGGACAAACCUGGACCACGAAAUGACGGUGGUGGGCUAUGGCACCACGGAUAAGCACGAAACGAAUAAUCUGUGCCAGUUCCAAGUCCAAGGGAAUCAGCUCGACCAGCUCCACGCCGUCGCUUCCCGAUUUGAGGCCAAGGUGUUCAGCGACUCCCACAACGUGCAGGACUACCUCAGAACAAUAAGCAUCAAGAUGAUGACUCUUCAGAGCAAAUGGCAACCGGCUGCUUCCGACCACCAGGCACACACCGGAGGCCAAGUGCGGCCUCUCAAUGCAGUUCCGGCCUACGCCACCGCAGUGCCGCCGCCGCAAGCGUCGCCAUCAACCACGACUCGUCUCGCUGUAAGGCCACCUCAGGCGCAAAACAUGCAGCUCAAUCAUAAACCAUCACAGCAACCCCCAAUGGCACCCGUUGCCCAGCUCCACCCUUGUGAUCCUACCGUGGCAGCUCAGAUUCAGACUCAGUCCCUGUCCAGGCACCACAACUCCAGCGGCAUGUGUACACGGCAGCCGGUUGCGCAGGCUCCUUUCAACCAUCAGCCACACAUGCCUCCCAAUGCAGUAACUCAGAUUCAGACUGCAGUGCCGCGGUUAACAUCAGCAAAUCGGCUUCCUCCUACAGAUCAAGUGCAAAACAUGGGGAUCAACCCAAUGGCACCCACUGGCCAGCUCCACCCUUGUCAUCCAACGGCGGUUACUCAGAUUCAGUCCCAAUCCAUGGCCAGGCAUAACUCAAGCGGCAUGCGUGCACAGGAGCCACAGCAAGAUUAUUUGAGGGUCAACCAACGGCAGAGUUACCAAGCUCAAGGAGGACAGCAGUCCAAUGUCGGCCCUUUGCAGAUCGGGCCUUCUGGAGAACGUAACAACCAACAAUUUGGGCACCAUCCAGUCGAAGUGGAUUGGAGGGAAGACAUGUUCCAGAGGAUCACAUCCCUCAAGGUCGCUCACUUCUCGGAGCUCGUGGAAUUUCAGCGAGCAAUACAAGCACGCAUCCCUCAGAGGAUAACAAACCAACAGCUCGAGUCAUUACCUAAAGAGCAAGCAGACAAAUAUCGGAAAUUGGUAGAUACCAUGGCAAAGAUUGGUUCUGCAUUGAGCUUCCUACAACUCCAGAAAAGCAACAUACCUGAGGCCAUGAAGGAUCAGUUUGACAAACACCAGAUACGCAUAGAUCGUAUUCUGCAUUUUCACAGGGUCAUGAAGGAUCGGUUGCAGAACCCUCCUCGGGCUGUAAAUAACAUAGGUGCAACAGGUAGCCAGCAGAAACAUCAAGAGCAACCUGCAGCAGAGACGUCGUUUUCGCAGUCUUCAGAAAACGUUCCGGCCACAAGUCUGCUGGUACAGCAGCAAGAGAAUAGCCACGACGUAGCAGGUGAAGAAGCGGUGCACGACGAGGUGCGCCGUGAGGCUGAAGCACCGGUGGCCACCAAUCUUACCGGCAGCAGUACGCCACCAUUGACCAGUGGAAGUGGAACAUGUAGCCAGGAAAAAGAGGACGAUCAUCAUCCAGCAUAUGAAGCAAUUCCACAACUGACACAGAACGCUAAUCCUGUUGAAACUCCACCGGCUCAUCAGCAAACCAAUAGGUCUUUGUCGCCGGCAGCGCUUCGCAGCCUAGCCCAAGAUAUGGGAGUGAACUUGAAGCGGGCCUUCCGCCACACAAUGUCUGGCAGCUGCGCGUGGUUUGAUGAAUCCAGCGGGGAUAGCUGCAACAAGAGGCGAAAAAUGCAUGCUCUUCGCGACGAGAUCAGAGCUGCGUACAGCAUGCUAGUGGAGACGGAGAUCAGAAUCACCGAUGACGACACAGGAGGAGCGGACGGGGCGGUGGUGAUCGAGCUCUGCUACAUCCCAGUGUCGCUUACACCGGACCUCAGGGAGGUUAUCGACCCUUCUGAGAUGUCGACAAAGCUGCUCGUCCCUGCGGACUACCCACGAAGCUCCCCGGUGCAUGUCGGAGAUGACGGCGGACACAGAAAGGGGAUUGCAGCUGGCGUGCUGGACGUGGAGUUCCGACGUGCCCUCGGCCAACUCCCGGAGCCCAGGUCAAUCAAGGGGAUAGCCAAGGCGUGGGACGCCUGCGUGCGGAGAGCCGUGGUGCAGUUUGCGCAUGGCCUCGGCGGAGGGACGUUCAGCACGAGGUACGGCCGGUGGGAGAGCUGCAUCGGAGCCUGA
RNAcentral lists this ribosomal RNA (2934 nucleotides) under Triticum aestivum (bread wheat). RNAcentral describes it as "partial small subunit ribosomal RNA". Lineage: Eukaryota; Viridiplantae; Streptophyta; Magnoliopsida; Poales; Poaceae. The record is from RNAcentral.